This 497-nucleotide ribosomal RNA is filed under the name uncultured Allobaculum sp. RNAcentral describes it as "partial 16S ribosomal RNA". Lineage: Bacteria; Bacillati; Bacillota; Erysipelotrichia; Erysipelotrichales; Erysipelotrichaceae. The record is from RNAcentral.
CACGUAGUUAGCCGUGACUUCCUCGCCGGGUACCAUCACUCAGAAAGCUUUCCACUCUUUCUGCCUUUUGUCCCCGGCAACAGAGCUUUACGAUCCGAAGACCUUCCUCGCUCACGCGGCAUUGCUCGUUCAGGGUUUCCCCCAUUGACGAAAAUUCCCUACUGCUGCCUCCCGCAGGAGUCUGGGCCGUGUCUCAGUCCCAGUGUGGCCGUCCGCCCUCUCAGGCCGGCUAUGCAUCGUCGCCUUGGUGAGCCGUUACCUCUCCAACCAGCUAAUGCACCGCAGGUCCAUCUGCAUGCGGGACUCUUGUCCCCUUUUCCAAAAAGAAGAUGCCUCCUCUUUGCUCAUCCCGGUAUCAGCUUCCGUUUCCAGAAGUUCUCCCGCUCAUGCAGGCAGGUUCCCUACGUGUUACUCACCCGUUCGCCACUCAUAUCCGAAGAUAUCCGUUCGACUUUGCAUGUAUUAGGCUAUGCCGCCAGCCGUUCACUCCUGAGCCC